AUAUUUCUAAAUUGAUCAAUCCACAAACUGCAAUAACAAAAUUCCAUAAAGAAACUGUUUUUCAUCCUAUCUUCCAUCGUAACAAUUAAUCCCAUGACCAAAGUAGUCGGAAGGUGACAUGACAAGGUUUUUCAAACCAUUGAAUUUAGAUAAGAAGCCAAUUGAAGAAUCAAAUCAUUCAGGCUACAAAGAUGACCAAAGCUCAUAAGCACAAUGCAUGAUAAGAACACAACUAUGUUAGUUAAUAAUGAUAUAAAAUUCGAUAUAAAAUGUGUGCAUGCAUGCAUGCAUGCGAAGUGAGAGGAAAAACCAGAUUAUGCCUCCUAUUAAGCACUACCGUUUGUACAUUUGUGUGCAUUUGCAAAUGUUUGGGUGGAUUAAACAGUAUCUACCAUAGUUGUCAAAUCGAGAAUUGA
Molecule: unclassified non-coding RNA, 416 nt
Filed under: Hevea brasiliensis (rubber tree)
Lineage: Eukaryota; Viridiplantae; Streptophyta; Magnoliopsida; Malpighiales; Euphorbiaceae
Source: RNAcentral